GGAAGUAAACGUCGUAACAAGGUUUCCGUAGGUGAACCUGCGGAAGGAUCAUUAUUGUAUAAUCGAGGUGCGAGGGCUGUCGCUGACCCGAAAGGUCGUGCACGCCCGAGUGCCCUCACACACAUCCAUCUCACCCCUAUGUGCACCACCGCGUGGGUCCCCCUUUGGCUUGUUCGGAGGGGGGCUUACGUUUUCACACAAACUUUGUAUGCAGUGUAGAAUGUAUUUUUUGUUUUUGCGAUCACGCAAUCAAUACAACUUUCAACAACGGAUCCCUUGGCUCUC
RNAcentral lists this unclassified non-coding RNA (285 nucleotides) under plant metagenome. RNAcentral's name for it is "partial contains small subunit ribosomal RNA and internal transcribed spacer 1". The stretch from base 1 to 54 matches the Rfam family "Eukaryotic small subunit ribosomal RNA", at positions 1778 to 1831 of the family's 1831-position model. The record is from RNAcentral.